UACGUAGGGCGCAAGCGUUGUCCGGAAUUAUUGGGCGUAAAGGGCUCGUAGGCGGUCUGUCGCGUCGGGAGUGAAAACUCAGGGCUUAACCCUGAGCCUGCUUCCGAUACGGGCAGACUAGAGGUAUGCAGGGGAGAACGGAAUUCCUGGUGUAGCGGUGGAAUGCGCAGAUAUCAGGAGGAACACCGGUGGCGAAGGCGGGUCUCUGGGCCGUAACUGACGCUGAGGAGCGAAAGCGUGGGGAGCGAACAGG
Molecule: ribosomal RNA, 253 nt
Filed under: uncultured bacterium
Lineage: Bacteria
Description: partial 16S ribosomal RNA
Rfam family: Bacterial small subunit ribosomal RNA
Source: RNAcentral